This 399-nucleotide ribosomal RNA is filed under the name uncultured bacterium. Its description in RNAcentral is "bacterial SSU rRNA". It matches the Rfam family "Bacterial small subunit ribosomal RNA", at positions 359 to 775 of the family's 1533-position model. The record is from RNAcentral.
GAAUUUUGGACAAUGGGCGAAAGCCUGACGCAGCCAUGCCGCGUGAAUGAUGAAGGUCUUAGGAUUGUAAAAUUCUUUCACCGGGGACGAUCAUGACGGUACCCGGAGAAGAAGCCCCGGCUAACUUCGAGCACGCAGCCGCGGUAAUACGAAGGGGGCUAGCGUUGCUCGGAAUUACUGGGCGUAAAGGGCGCGUAGGCGGAUCGUUAAGUCAGAGGUGAAAUCCCAGGGCUCAACCCUGGAACUGCCUUUGAUACUGGCGAUCUUGAGUAUGAGAGAGGUAUGUGGAACUCCGAGUGUAGAGGUGAAAUUCGUAGAUAUUCGGAAGAACACCAGUGGCGAAGGCGACAUACUGGCUCAUUACUGACGCUGAGGCGCGAAAGCGUGGGGAGCAAACAG